UACGAAGGGGGGCUAGCGUUGUUCGGAAUUACUGGGCGUAAAGGGCGCGUAGGCGGUGUGUCAAGUCAGGCGUGAAAGCCCCGGGCUCAACCUGGGAACAGCGCUUGAGACUGGCACGCUCGAGUUCGGGAGAGGAUGGUGGAAUUCCCAGUGUAGAGGUGAAAUGCGUAGAUAUUGGGAGGAACACCAGUGGCGAAGGCGGCUCGCUGGACCGGUUCUGACGCUGAGGCGCGAAAGCGUGGGUAGCAAACAGG
Molecule: ribosomal RNA, 254 nt
Filed under: uncultured bacterium
Lineage: Bacteria
Description: partial 16S ribosomal RNA
Rfam family: Bacterial small subunit ribosomal RNA
Source: RNAcentral